GACGAACGCUGGCGGCGUGCCUAAUACAUGCAAGUAGAACGCACAGUUUAUACCGUAGCUUGCUACACCAUAAACUGUGAGUUGCGAACGGGUGAGUAAUGCGUAGGUAACCUGCCUGGUAGCGGGGGAUAACUAUUGGAAACGAUAGCUAAUACCGCAUAAUAUUAAUUAUUGCAUGAUAAUUGAUUGAAAGAUGCAAUUGCAUCACUACCAGAUGGACCUGCGUUGUAUUAGCUAGUAGGUGAGGUAACGGCUCACCUAGGCGACGAUACAUAGCCGACCUGAGAGGGUGAUCGGCCACACUGGGACUGAGACACGGCCCAGACUCCUACGGGAGGCAGCAGUAGGGAAUCUUCGGCAAUGGACGAAAGUCUGACCGAGCAACGCCGCGUGAGUGAAGAAGGUUUUCGGAUCGUAAAGCUCUGUUGUAAGAGAAGAACGGGUGUGAGAGUGGAAAGUUCACACUGUGACGGUAUCUUACCAGAAAGGGACGGCUAACUACGUG
RNAcentral lists this ribosomal RNA (505 nucleotides) under uncultured bacterium. Its description in RNAcentral is "partial 16S ribosomal RNA". It matches the Rfam family "Bacterial small subunit ribosomal RNA", at positions 28 to 507 of the family's 1533-position model. The record is from RNAcentral.